UCCACCGAUAAGAGUCUGGUGGAAUGAGAAAGCUAUUGCAGGUGGCUUAGUUCCUGUAAUGGGCCUCAACAUAGAGGCAAGUCUCUAGUGGAGGCAGUCCUAGGAGUCAGCAUUCAGCGAAGGAAUGGAGCAUAGGAGAAACUUAAGAGGGAUGAAUGUUCAAGUGUGAAGGGGGCAGAAGUGGCUUAAAUAUAUAUUUCCACUUGAUGUUUGUUAGGGGGAGCUUCAGGAGAGAGCCCUGUGAGCCCCUGCUCUGGAAGAAGGGUGAACUUUGAGAGACUUUGGUGCCUAGGAAGACAGAGAAGUCAUGGAGUGGGCACAAGAAUAUAGGUACACAGUGAGUCCAGGAAGAGGCUGUGGGGAAGAACUGCAGACAGGCUGAGACAGGAAGAAGCCCAGGCAAGAAGCUGAAGAGGGAGGGGGGAUAGUUUCUGAAUAGACAGACCUUGUUUGCUUACUACAGGGUUCCUGGGUUGAAACCAAGAGGAAAGGGAGGAAUUAGGUUUUCCUACAGGCCCACAGAGAUAGGUGGUGUGAAGACCCCAGUGGCUAGAGAUAGAAGGAUUAGUGAGUCUGUGAGGCCAGUGGACCUUUGUUUUUUGGGCUCUCUGAUAAGACUAUAAAGUGACUUGGCUGGAGGGCUGAGUCAGGAGAAGAAGCAGUCCAUUGCAGGGCUGGAGCAACUGUUAACAGGGGGACCACCAGAGAUGAGAAGUACUUGUUAUGCCAUGCCUUGCCAUGUGGGGAAACACCAGUGGGUUUUUUUGCCCAGCAGCAAAACUUGUUGUCAGGGAAGAAAUCUGCAGGCACGAGAGAAUCUAGUAAACAGAAUCUCUACGAAGGGGAGCCCAUCAGUAGCCCACUAACCACACUGCUGAGAAAUCCACAAUUUUAUACUACUGGAUCAGAUCCUGCUGCCACAAAACUCUACUUGUUCCUGGAUGUAAGCAGUAAAAUUACUUCUCUGUUUGUGGGUACUGGACACCCCAUGUUCCCUGGUGGCUGAUUCUUCACAUUAUUAACAGCUGUGUCUCAAGCAAUAGGACUUCCUACUUUUCUUGAUAUUCAACUAAAUUGGUGAUGGGAUCUUAGCAGGUUUGGCAGUCAGCUUGCUACUGUCUUCGAAUCUCACUGUUUCUGUGGCAUCCCUGCUGAAUAAGAGGCACACAAUGCAUUCUGAGGCAUCGAGAACUGAAAGAGCUACAGAGGAAGAUUAGAAGACAGCAAUUGUCCUCAAUUGAAACAAAGCCAGACCUGUUAAAGUUCCAAGCUCAAAAUAUCCAUAAAAGGGAAGGGGUACUGUAUAUGUCAUGGGUGAAUGAGAGGAAUGUAGAAUCCGAGUCACAGAUCCCCAGAUCCUCAAAGGUAUUUAGGUGCUUAACUCCCACUGUUUUCAAUGGCAGUUAAGUGAUGAAAUGCCGUUGAGGAUCUUGGCCUGAUUCCAGGACAGGGCAGUCAGCUAACUGUACUAAUGGUAUGAAGGGAUCAAGUCAGGGAGAGCACAGAGUGAUGAAAAUUGAUGUAUAUGGCUAGUAGAGAUGGUCAAAAAAUAGGAGAAGGGGUAGAACUGUAAACAUUUUGUUUCAAAGUUGUUGUUUUUUAAACAGAUUUUGAAAAUUGUUGCAAAAUAUUUUACCAAAAAUUUGGUAGUUUUCCUUCCCCAUCCCCCGUUACUUCUCCUCUUUCCAUUUUGCUACUGAAACGGGAAGAAGGUGAAGGCAGAGAAAGAAAUGGAGGGUGUUUUUGGCUGGAGAGAAAGACAUUUUAAUUGAAAACAAAGUUUUGCAAAAUAUUCAUUUUCAACAAAUGAAAACGUUAUUUCAUUUAGAAAAAAUAUGGCCAGCUCUACUGGUGAUAGUGGUAGACAAACCCUUCAACUGAGGGAGCUCAGGAAUUCUUAGGAAUCACUGAGAACUUUGAGGAAUUGGGCCCUCAGCUUGAACAGUACAAUUAAGCUGGUUGGCUUCACUUUCUGCUCAUAAUCAGUUUCAUAUUCUGAUUCUCAUGGACCAAUAUAAUCUGGCUUGGUUUGGGUUUUUUCUCAACAGGUUUAAAUUCAAGCAAAAUCCCCAUUUUUCCUGAAAUCAGUUCACAAACAUUUCUUGAAAAGUUUGUAUUCAGGUUUUGUGUUUAAAACAACUAAAAAAACUCAAUCUUGGGCCUAAACUACUUAGUGUCCCUUUAAAUCCCAACAUCAAUAUCUUGUGUAUUCAGCUUUACACGAAUGUAACAGACAUCAGAAGCUGUCCCUCCAUUCAUGAUUACCCAAAACCUUAUACAACAUUCCUCUCAUUGGCGAAAUGCUGUGACAAGAUCAAGUGAGCAUUGUAAAACACAUACAUAUAAAUGUACUAAAACCCUCAUUAAAGGUUAAGCAAGUCUCCCCCUCCUUGCAUAAAAAAAAUAAGGUCAUUCAUUUCCCUGGAAGUUUGGCAGAUAUUAGGUUUACAAAAUAGGUCAAACUUCCCAAGUUAUGGGCUUAUUUCUGAAUCAGCGUGGCCCAUCUCUAUAAAUAAUCAAAAACCCAUUUAUACUUCAUCUUUUUAGCAUUACCCUCAAUGAAAUGUUGUAUCCCCCCAAAUAAUUCAUUUCUUACCAUGUGAGGCUCAAUCCUGCUAGUUUGCCACACACACAUGGAGCUUGCAUUGGUCACAAUGGAGCGUUUGCAGUUUGGGGCUCAAGAAGUCACCUUACCAAUGGGCAUCGUUUUGUAAACCAGUAUGUGUGGUUUGGGUCUAGUUCUCCAAUGAGAACUAGCAAAACUUAGAAACUAGCAGGUUGACUCCUCU
Long non-coding RNA from Chelonia mydas (Green sea turtle), 2789 nucleotides. RefSeq lists it as uncharacterized. The record is from RefSeq and is a predicted model, not a curated record. NCBI's taxonomy places the organism in Eukaryota, Metazoa, Chordata, Testudines, Cheloniidae. The transcript is spliced from 4 exons.